Molecule: long non-coding RNA, 445 nt
Organism: Olea europaea var. sylvestris
Lineage: Eukaryota; Viridiplantae; Streptophyta; Magnoliopsida; Lamiales; Oleaceae
Exons: 2
Source: RefSeq, a predicted model, not a curated record
UUCACGAGCUCCCGAACCCGAACCCAAAACCAAACCCUAUCUUCCAUUUCUCUCUCACGCCUACAAUACUCUAUGCACUCGAGCUACAUCGUUUCUUAUUUUCUCCUCAAAUCGUCGACAUCGACCGAGUUGAUCGUCGGUUGUUCGUGAGGAAACAUUUUUCGGUGGUGAAAAAGACGGAAAGAGGAAGAAAGGCGACAAGGAUCAAAACCUAAUGGGAGGCACGUGUUUUCUGGGCGACAAUUGAUUAAUCGAUUUCUUUUGAUUACUCUCAGAUUCGUUUGUAUAAUGUUUGCUGUAUUUAUGACCGGUUAUCUAAUUAGGUUAAUUUUUAUUCAGUCAUUUCUCUACGUCUUAAGAGUUGAGUUUGUAUUCCCCCAUUUUUUUUUUUUUUUUUGCAUCUUGUUCUGGGAUUCUUAGAUCAAUAUUAAUACAUUUUGUUGCA